Long non-coding RNA from Mauremys reevesii (Reeves's turtle), 510 nucleotides. RefSeq lists it as uncharacterized. NCBI's taxonomy places the organism in Eukaryota, Metazoa, Chordata, Testudines, Geoemydidae. The transcript has 3 exons. The record is from RefSeq and is a predicted model, not a curated record.
ACAUCCUCUGGCAAGGAGCUCCACAUGAUGACUGUGCAUUGUGUGAGCUGUGCGACUGUGCAUCCCAGUGGAGCCUGGGAGCUGACUGCAGAGGGAAGGCUUGAUCUGGGACUAGGAAGCUGAGAGCCAGGCAGACUCAUCAUAUUGCUGACAGAAGGCCAGCAAGAAAGAAUACAGGACAGCAUGCUGCAGGCAGAACAAUGGUGUGGAGGAGUUGAGAUUCUUACUUCUACACCUCUGUCCAGGACUGUCAUUAGGAAUUUACAACAGGACUACCGUAUAAACUGAAGACACACUGUGAUCUUGACUGCAAAAUUACAUGAUACUGCACAUCUACAAGUAAUGAACACCAGAACCCAGCAGCUAGGGAACAGAAGGCAACUGCUGCUGGUGAAAAAAUCAGUUCACCACAGGACAAGAGACAAAUCCUGUCACUUCUAUCAAUGAAGUGGGAAUUUACACAGGUACUAAUGCGGAGAGUGGACUAGAUGAUACAUCUCAGGGAAGGGA